Molecule: RNA transcript, 2207 nt
Organism: Corylus avellana
Lineage: Eukaryota; Viridiplantae; Streptophyta; Magnoliopsida; Fagales; Betulaceae
Gene name: DNA double-strand break repair protein
Source: RefSeq, a predicted model, not a curated record
CGUGUUACAACCCUGACCAAACGCAGUAACUGCACUAUCCACGAUGUAAACGACGCCGUGUAAGAUAUUCCAUCUCCUACACCAACCUUCAGGAAUUCCGUUCCUUGGAAUCGCUCGCCCAUUCUUUUUCUCUCUAAGAACCUCCCGAGCCCUCAGAGCCAUCAGAACCCUCAGAUUCCUUUCGCUGAUACCAAAUUCAACAGUUUUUAGGGUAAUAUGGCAGGGAGAAACCGUGGUCCCCGUGAAGCCUUCAAUGACCGGCGUGGUUACCUGCCGGAAGGGCCUUAUGCUCGUCCUCCAAUGCCUAGGCCUCCUCCUCAUCCUGCUUUGUUGGAGGAAGAACUUGAAAUGCAGCAUGUUGAGAUCCGGAGGCUCUUAGCUGAUAAUAGGAGGCUGGUUGAAGACCGUAUGGCACUGCAUCGAGAGCUUGGUGCUGCCAAGGAAGAGCUUCACCGCAUGAAUCUCAUCAUUACUGACAUUCGUACCGAACAGGAAAUGCACUCUAGGGAUCUUAGGGAGAAAGGAAUGAAGCUGGAGGCUGAACUCCGAGCUACUGAGCCUUUGAAAAAUGAGGCUGUACAGCUUCGUGCAGAAGUUCAGAAGCUGAAUAACCUUAGGCAGGAACUCACAGCGCAAGUUCAGAACCUCACACAAGAGCGUACAAGACUGCAAGCUGAUAAUCAACAGAUUCCAUCUUUAAGGGCAGAGAUUGAUGGGAUGCACCAGGAGCUUAUGCAUACUAGAGCUGCACUUGAUUAUGAGAAGAAGGCAAACAUGGAACUGAUGGAACAGAGGCAGUCAAUGGAGAAGAACUUGGUUUCCAUGGCCCGCGAAGUGGAGAAGCUGCGUGCAGAAUUUGCAAAUGCUGACAGUAGGCAAUGGGGUGCUGGUGGACCAUAUGGGAUGAAAUUCAGCAGCCCAGAUAGCAUUUUUCCUGCUCCUUACGGGGAUGGAUAUGGGGUUCAUCUGGGUGCUGCCGAGAAAGUUUCUCGGUAUGGUCCAGGUCCAGCUUCAUUGGGAGGUCCUGAGAAGCCUCGCAUGACUCGUCGUUGAGAUCUUGGUGAUUACUGUUUGAAUGAAGCAAUGACUUAUCUGUUUAUUUGAUGUCUGUUAUUCGAAUUCAGAUGGGCGAGAAGUGUUAGCUUUCAUCUAUUUAUGCAUGCCGCAUAAGUAAUUCAUCUGAAUACAUUAUAGAAGGCCGGUACUUUUAUGUGGAAGGUAAAGGCAAAGUAUGCCGGAUCCAAAAGAAUGUCAGAUAAACUUCUGCAGUUCUGGCUAAAGGGCUUUAGGUGCAUGUUUGGCGUUGCGGUCAGAGGGUCGAAAUCAAUUUUCACGCGUGCUUGGCCCUUAUUGAGGCGUUAAGGUUCUGAAAACGCUUUUGGACAGAAGCAGAUUUGUUCUGACCACAUUAUGGCGCAGCAGCAGUUAGCUGCUUCUGGAAAUUUAUUUUCCAGAAGCAGAUAUGAGGUUUUACGAGUUUUCUUGAAACUCCAAUUACACCUUCAUAUUCUUUCAGUGAAUACCACCCAUGUGCCCGCAUAAUAUCCUCUUCUGCUCUCAUUUUUUCCAACCCUAGCCGGCGUCAGUUUGCCAUGUGUGCACCAUCGCUGAUCCCACCAGUUCAUUGCUGGAUUUCUAUGCCACUGAAUGAAAACGAAUAUCUCAAAUAUCAGAAGAUUUGUUUUCAGAGGAAGAUGUUUGAUUUUCUGAGGUCAAUUUGAUACUGGAGUUGGUUAUAACCAUGGGCUUUGCUUUUGCUCUGAAGUGGUGCUAAUGUGAUUUUCAGGAGAUGGUUGAAGGAUGUUAAAGAGAGCACCCCACUUAUAAUGGGUAGAAACAGUGAGGUCGGGCUUUUGGGGAGGUUUUGACGGAGAGACGGGAGGGGUAUUUUCUUGAUUGGCUUGCUGGGUUUGGGCAAUUUUGGUGAUCAGGUGUUCAAGCACUUGGCAUUUGACAUGGACACGGUUCCUAGUAGUUGCUGCCAUUGAUGGGCUUAGUUUUGCCGAUAUUGAGUUGAGCAGGGGGAUUAUGAGGGUUGAGUUGAGAUGCUCGUUUACAAGAGUUGGACUUUAAUGGUUACCCCUGGCGGAAAUUUUUUGUAUUACUUCUAGUUUCGUGUAUAAUUAAGCACCCGAUAAAAAUUGAUACGGAGUCGAUGUAGAACAACUAGAAAUUUACAUGGUCUGUUUUUUCAUAAUUCCAACUAG